GCCCUAGUAACGGCGAGUGAAGCGGCAACAGCUCAAAUUUGAAAUCUGGCCUCCUUUGGGGGUCCGAGUUGUAAUUUGCAGAGGGUGCUUUGGCGUCGGCAGCGGUCUAAGUUCCUUGGAACAGGACAUCACAGAGGGUGAGAAUCCCGUACGUGGUCGCCUGCCUUCGCCGUGUAAAGCCCCUUCGACGAGUCGAGUUGUUUGGGAAUGCAGCUCUAAAUGGGAGGUAAAUUUCUUCUAAAGCUAAAUACCGGCCAGAGACCGAUAGCGCACAAGUAGAGUGAUCGAAAGAUGAAAAGCACUUUGGAAAGAGAGUCAAACAGCACGUGAAAUUGUUGAAAGGGAAGCGCUUGCAGCCAGACUUGCUCGCAGUUGCUCAUCCGGGUCCGCCCGGAGCACUCUUCUGCGAGCAGGCCAGCAUCAGUUUGGGCGACCGGAUAAAGGCCUCUGUCAUGUAUCUUCCUUCGGGAUGACCUUAUAGGGGAGGCGUAAUGCGGCCAGCCCGGACUGAGGUCCGCGCAUCUGCUAGGAUGCUGGCGUAAUGGCUGUAAGCGGCCCGUCUUGAAACACGGAUCAAGGAGUCUAACAUCUAUGCGAGUGUUUGGGUGUCAAGCCCGGGCGCGUAAUGAAAGUGAACGGAGGUGGGAACCCUCUUCGGGGGGUGCACCAUCGACCGAUCCUGAUGUCUUCGGAUGGAUUUGAGUAAGAGCAUAGCUGUUGGGACCCGAAAGAUGGUGAACUAUGCUUGAAUAGGGUGAAGCCAGAGGAAACUCUGGUGGAGGCUCGCAGCGGUUCUGACGUGCAAAUCGAUCGUCAAAUUUGGGCAUAGGGGCGAAAGACUAAUCGAACU
This 850-nucleotide ribosomal RNA is filed under the name Phragmocamarosporium qujingensis. RNAcentral's name for it is "partial large subunit ribosomal RNA". It matches the Rfam family "Eukaryotic large subunit ribosomal RNA", at positions 77 to 941 of the family's 3401-position model. The record is from RNAcentral. Lineage: Eukaryota; Fungi; Ascomycota; Dothideomycetes; Pleosporales; Lentitheciaceae.